Molecule: long non-coding RNA, 795 nt
Filed under: Nicotiana benthamiana
Lineage: Eukaryota; Viridiplantae; Streptophyta; Magnoliopsida; Solanales; Solanaceae
Description: long non-coding RNA (NBEN_LNC022316)
Source: RNAcentral
AAGCAGCAAAGGUUUGCGAAGGAAACUUUGGAAAUCUUUGCUCCUCUUGCUAAUCGCUUAGGCAUCUCAACCUGGAAGGAGCAGCUGGAAAACCUCUGCUUUAAACAUCUUAACCCAGACAAGCACAAUGAGCUCUCGUCCAAACUUGUUAAGUCUUUUGAUGAGGCUAUGAUUACUUCAUCUGUGGGGAAAUUGUCAGCACAAUGAGCUAUCAUCGAAACUUGUUAAGUCUUUUGAUGAGGCUAUGAUUACUUCUUCCGUGGGGAAAUUGGAGCAAGCGCUAAAGGAUGACUCUGUUUCUUAUCAUGUUCUCUCGGGGCGUCACAAGAGCUUGUACAGCAUUUAUAGCAAGAUGCUAAAGUAAUUUCUCUCUUCUCUCCCCCCUCUCCCCUAACCCACUCGUUAAGCACUGGAGAAAAAGAGAAAAGGAAAGGCCCAUGUGUGGAUGAAGUAUAUUGGCUCAUUUAAUCCUGUAAGAAUUGCACCAAUGGAUUUGGCUAAUCAAUCAAUUAUUUACUAUUUAGUGCUUGUAGUUCAUAGAUAGACAAUGCUAUAUCCGUGUUUUGAGUUUGAUGAUAAUUAAUUGUCCUUGAUAUCACAUCUUAGAAACUUCCGGACGCCUUUUGCAUUUCCUGUCAUGUGCAUGUUUAUUUUUUUUUUUUUACUGAUGUUGCUUUAUGUCACCGAAAAUAUCUACAGGAAGAAGCUUAAUAUGGAUGAAGUCCAUGACAUUCAUGGGUUAAGGUUGAUAGUUGAAAAUAAAGAAGACUGUUAUAAAGCACUUCGAGUUGUUAA